CCUACGGGAGGCAGCAGUGGGGAAUAUUGGACAAUGGGCGAAAGCCUGAUCCAGCCAUGCCGCGUGUGUGAAGAAGGUCUUCGGAUUGUAAAGCACUUUAAGUUGGGAGGAAGGGCUGCUGGUUAAUACCCUGCAGUUUUGACGUUACCAACAGAAUAAGCACCGGCUAACUUCGUGCCAGCAGCCGCGGUAAU
RNAcentral lists this ribosomal RNA (194 nucleotides) under uncultured bacterium. RNAcentral's name for it is "partial 16S ribosomal RNA". It matches the Rfam family "Bacterial small subunit ribosomal RNA", at positions 338 to 524 of the family's 1533-position model. The record is from RNAcentral.